GAUGAACGCUAGCGGGAGGCUUAACACAUGCAAGUCGAGGGGCAGCACGAUGUAGCAAUACGUUGGUGGCGACCGGCGCACGGGUGAGUAACACGUAUGUAACCUACCCUGUACAGGGGGAUAACCCGGAGAAAUUCGGACUAAUACCCCAUGAUGAUAUUUAUGGGCAUCCAUUGAUAUUUAAAGCUCUGGCGGUACAGGAUGGGCAUGCGCGACAUUAGCUAGUUGGUAAGGUAACGGCUUACCAAGGCCACGAUGUUUAGGGGACCUGAGAGGGUUGUCCCCCACACUGGUACUGAGACACGGACCAGACUCCUACGGGAGGCAGCAGUGAGGAAUAUUGGUCAAUGGGCGCAAGCCUGAACCAGCCAUCCCGCGUGAAGGAAGAAUGCGCUACGCGUUGUAAACUUCUUUUCCAGGGGGAGAAUAAUCCUGUCGUGACAGGACUUGACGGUACUCUGGGAAUAAGCAUCGGCUAACUCCGUCCAGCAGCCGCGGUAAA
Molecule: ribosomal RNA, 502 nt
Filed under: uncultured bacterium
Lineage: Bacteria
Description: bacterial SSU rRNA
Rfam family: Bacterial small subunit ribosomal RNA
Source: RNAcentral